GAAACGACUGCUAAGACUGGAUAGGAGACAAGAAGGCAUCUUCUUGUUUUUAAAAGACCUAGCAAUAGGUAUGCUUAGGUAGGAGCUUGCGUCACAUUAGUUAGUUGGUGGGGUAAAGGCCUACCAAGACUAUGAUGUGUAGCCGGGCUGAGAGGUUGAACGGCCACAUUGGGACUGAGACACGGCCCAAACUCCUACGGGAGGCAGCAGUAGGGAAUUUUCGGCAAUGGAGGAAACUCUGACCGAGCAACGCCGCGUGAACGAUGAAGUAUUUCGGUACGUAAAGUUCUUUUAUUAGGGAAGAAUAAAUGAUGGAAAAAUCAUUCUGACGGUACCUAAUGAAUAAGCCCCGGCUAACUAUGUGCCAGCAGCCGCGGUAAUACAAAAGGGGCAAGCGUUAUCCGGAAAUUAUUGGGCGUAAAGGGUGCGUAGGCGGUUAAAUAAGUUUGUGGUCUAAGUGCAAUGCUCAACAUUGUGAUGCUAUAAAAACUGUUUAGCUAGAGUAAGAUAGAGGCAAGUGGAAUUCCAUGUGUAGUGGUAAAAUGCGUAAAUAUAUGGAGGAACACCAGUAGCGAAGGCGGCUUGCUGGGUCUUUACUGACGCUGAGGCACGAAAGCGUGGGGAGCAAACAGGAUUAGAUACCCUGGUAGUCCACGCCGUAAACGAUGAGUACUAAACGUUGGGUAAAACCAGUGUUGAAGUUAACACAUUAAGUACUCCGCCUGAGUAGUACGUACGCAAGUAUGAAACUUAAAGGAAUUGACGGGACUCCGCACAAGCGGUGGAUCAUAUUGUUUAAUUCGAAGGUACCCGAAAAACCUCACCAGGUCUUGACAUGCUUCUGCAAAGCUGUAGAAACACAGUGGAGGUUAUCAGUUGCACAGGUGGUGCAUGGUUGUCGUCAGCUCGUGCCGUGAGAUGUUGGGUUAAGUCCCGCAACGAGCGCAACCCUUUAUUGUUAGUUACCAGCACGUAAUGGUGGGGACUUUAGCAAGACCGCCAGUGAUAAAUUGGAGGAAGGUGGGGACGACGUCAAAUCAUCAUGCCCCUUAUGACCUGGGCUACAAACGUGAUACAAUGGCUGUUACAAAAGGGUAGCUGAAGCGCAAGUUUUUGGCGAAUCUCAAAAAAACAGUCUCAGUUCGGAUUGAAGUCUGCAACUCGACUUCAUGAAGUUGGAAUCGCUAGUAAUCGCGAAUCAGCAUGUCGCGGUGAAUACGUUCGCGGGGUUUGUACACACCGCCCGUCA
Molecule: ribosomal RNA, 1249 nt
Filed under: Chinese winter wheat phytoplasma
Lineage: Bacteria; Bacillati; Mycoplasmatota; Mollicutes; Acholeplasmatales; Acholeplasmataceae
Description: bacterial SSU rRNA
Rfam family: Bacterial small subunit ribosomal RNA
Source: RNAcentral